ACCUCGAUGUCGGCUCAUCACAUCCUGGGGCUGAAGUAGGUCCCAAGGGUAUGGCUGUUCGCCAUUUAAAGUGGUACGCGAGCUGGGUUUAGAACGUCGUGAGACAGUUCGGUCCCUAUCUGCCGUGGGCGCUGGAGAAUUGAGGGGGGCUGCUCCUAGUACGAGAGGACCGGAGUGGACGCAUCACUGGUGUUCGGGUUGUCAUGCCAAUGGCACUGCCCGGUAGCUAAAUGCGGAAGAGAUAAGUGCUGAAAGCAUCUAAGCACGAAACUUGCCCCGAGAUGAGUUCUCCCUGAGACUUUAAGUCUCCUGAAGGAACGUUAAAGACGAUGACGUUGAUAGGCCGGGUGUGUAAGCGCAGCGAUGCGUUGAGCUAACCGGUACUAAUGAACCGUGAGGCUUAACCUUACAACGCCGAAG
RNAcentral lists this ribosomal RNA (420 nucleotides) under Klebsiella pneumoniae. RNAcentral's name for it is "partial 23S ribosomal RNA". It matches the Rfam family "Bacterial large subunit ribosomal RNA", at positions 2523 to 2925 of the family's 2925-position model. The record is from RNAcentral. Lineage: Bacteria; Pseudomonadati; Pseudomonadota; Gammaproteobacteria; Enterobacterales; Enterobacteriaceae.